Molecule: ribosomal RNA, 267 nt
Filed under: uncultured bacterium
Lineage: Bacteria
Description: partial 16S ribosomal RNA
Rfam family: Bacterial small subunit ribosomal RNA
Source: RNAcentral
UUACAAUGGCAGGUACAGAGGGAUGCUACCGGGCGACCGGAUGCGGAUCUCGAAAGCCUGUCCCAGUUCGGACUGGAGUCUGCAACCCGACUCCACGAAGUUGGAUUCGCUAGUAAUCGCGCAUCAGCCAUGGUGCGGUGAAUACGUUCCCGGGCCUUGUACACACCGCCCGUCAAGCCAUGGGAGCCGGGGGCGCCUGAAGUCCGGGACCGCGAGGACCGGCCUAGGGCGAAACUGGUAACUGGGGCUAAGUCGUAACAAGGUACC